RNAcentral lists this ribosomal RNA (395 nucleotides) under uncultured bacterium. Its description in RNAcentral is "bacterial SSU rRNA". It matches the Rfam family "Bacterial small subunit ribosomal RNA", at positions 42 to 456 of the family's 1533-position model. The record is from RNAcentral.
UCAGGCCUAACACAUGCAAGUCGAACUAGCUCUAGCGCAAGUUAGAGUGGGUGGCGGACGGGUGAGGAACACGUAAGAACCUACCUUUUGGGGGAGGAUAACUGCUGGAAACGGCAGCUAAUACUCCAUAUGCUGAGGAGCGAAAGGUCGAAAGACCGCCAAAAGAUGGGCUUGCGUCUGAUUAGCUAGUUGGUGAGGUAAAUGCUUACCAAGGCGACGAUCAGUAGCUGGUCUGAGAGGAUGAUCAGCCACACUGGGACUGAGACACGGCCCAGACUCCUACGGGAGGCAGCAGUGAGGAAUUUUCCGAAGGGGGCGAAAGCCUGACGGAGCAAUACCGCGGAAUUGAUAGGGCCUGUGGGUUGUAAACUUCUUUCUCAGAGACGAAAUUUGAC